UGGGGAAUAUUGCACAAUGGGCGGAAGCCUGAUGCAGCGACGCCGCGUGGGGGAUGAAGGCCUUCGGGUUGUAAACUCCUUUCGACAGGGACGAAGCGUAAGUGACGGUACCUGUAUAAGAAGCACCGGCUAACUACGUGCCAGCAGCCGCGGUAAUACGUAGGGUGCGAGCGUUGUCCGGAAUUACUGGGCGUAAAGAGCUCGUAGGUGGUUUGUCGCGUCGUCUGUGAAAUUCCGGGGCUUAACUCCGGGCGUGCAGGCGAUACGGGCCGACUUGAGUGCUGUAGGGGAGACUGGAAUUCCUGGUGUAGCGGUGAAAUGCGCAGAUAUCAGGAGGAACACCGAUGGCGAAGGCAGGUCUCUGGGCAGUAACUGACGCUGAGGAGCGAAAGCAUGGGUAGCGAACAGGAUUAGAUACCCUGGUAGUCCAUGCCGUAAACGGUGGGCGCUAGGUGUAGGGGGCUUCCACGUCUUCUGUGCCGUAGCUAACGCAUUAAGCGCCCCGCCUGGGGAGUACGGCCGCAAGGCUA
RNAcentral lists this ribosomal RNA (530 nucleotides) under uncultured bacterium. RNAcentral describes it as "bacterial SSU rRNA". It matches the Rfam family "Bacterial small subunit ribosomal RNA", at positions 355 to 896 of the family's 1533-position model. The record is from RNAcentral.